GAUGAAGAACGUAGCGAAAUGCGAUAAGUAAUGUGAAUUGCAGAAUUCAGUGAAUCAUCGAAUCUUUGAACGCACAUUGCGCCCCUUGGUAUUCCGAGGGGCAUGCCUGUUCGAGCGUCAUUAUAACCCCUCAAGCUCAGCUUGGUGUUGGGGCCUGCUGCACUGGCAGCCCUUAAAAUCAGUGGCGGCGCCAUCUGGCUCUAAGCGUAGUAAUUCUUCUCGCUAUGGAGUCCUGGUGGAUGCUUGCCAUCAACCCCCAAUUUUUCUAUGGUUGACCUCUGAUCAGGUAGGGAUACCCGCUGAACUUAAGCAUAUCAAUAAGCGGAGGA
RNAcentral lists this unclassified non-coding RNA (329 nucleotides) under soil metagenome. Its description in RNAcentral is "partial contains 5.8S ribosomal RNA, internal transcribed spacer 2, and large subunit ribosomal RNA". The stretch from base 1 to 120 matches the Rfam family "5.8S ribosomal RNA", at positions 35 to 154 of the family's 154-position model. The record is from RNAcentral.